GAUGAACGCUAGCGGCAGGCUUAAUACAUGCAAGUCAAGGGGGUAGCAAUACAACCGGCGCACGGGUGAGUAACGCGUACACAACAUACCAUAUACUGGAGUAUAGCUUUGGGAAACUGAAGGUAAUCCUCCAUAACAUUGCGAGAGGGCAUCUGAUUGCAAUUAAAGUUCCGGCGGUAUAUGAUUGGUGUGCGUUUGAUUAGCUAGUUGGUAGGGUAACGGCCUACCAAGGCGACGAUCAAUAGCUGGCGUGAGAGCGCGACCAGCCUCACUGGAACUGAGACACGGUCCAGACUCCUACGGGAGGCAGCAGUAGGGAAUAUUGGACAAUGGGCGAAAGCCUGAUCCAGCCAUGCCGCGUGAUAGAUGAAGGCCCUCUGGGUUGUAAAUAUCUUUUAUCUGGGAAGAAACUCCUCUAUUCUUAGAGGCCUGACGGUACCAGAGGAAUAAGCACCGGCUAACUCCGUGCCAGCAGCCGCGGUAAA
This 485-nucleotide ribosomal RNA is filed under the name uncultured bacterium. RNAcentral's name for it is "bacterial SSU rRNA". It matches the Rfam family "Bacterial small subunit ribosomal RNA", at positions 28 to 524 of the family's 1533-position model. The record is from RNAcentral.